RNAcentral lists this ribosomal RNA (329 nucleotides) under uncultured bacterium. Its description in RNAcentral is "bacterial SSU rRNA". It matches the Rfam family "Bacterial small subunit ribosomal RNA", at positions 28 to 334 of the family's 1533-position model. The record is from RNAcentral.
GACGAACGCUGGCGGCGUGCUUAACACAUGCAAGUCGAACGAGAAUUAAAAGUGGAAAUUUUCGGAUGGAAACAUUUAAUGAAAGUGGCGGACGGGUGAGUAACACGUGGGCAACCUACCCUAUAGACCGGGAUAACUCGUGGAAACGCGUGCUAAUACCGGAUAAUACAUGGAAACUCAUGUUUUUAUGUUGAAAGAUGGUUCUGCUAUCACUAUAGGAUGGGCCCGCGGCGCAUUAGCUAGUUGGUGAGGUAACGGCUCACCAAGGCGACGAUGCGUAGCCGACCUGAGAGGGUGAUCGGCCACACUGGGACUGAGACACGGCCCAG